UCCGCUUUUGGCGCUCGCGUGUAAAAUCAAAAUAAAUUUAUACUUUUUUAUUUGGUCAGCACGGGGUGGCCACAGGGGUGGCCAGGGACUUGUCUACAGAGGCACGGGCCACCCUUGGCCUCCGUGUAGAACCGCCACUGCUUUUGCAUCGAUUUUUUUAUGUAUUGUAUACUCCCGCAUGUCUUCACAUAUAAAAAAAACAUGAUAAAACAUAUUUUACUACAGUAAUAUUGUAGUACCUAAAAUAUUAAAGAAUGUUAUGUGUGUAUUAAUGUGUGCAUGUAUGUGUGAUUUAUUAAAGAAGCCCUGAAUAUCUAUAUAUUAUCUAUUCACCUUAUUUUUCACGACAACAAGGGCGGCGCCAUUUCGCUCAUUUUGUCAACGUUCUUCCGGCCGCAUAGACGAUGAGCAGCUGAGGCAGUGACUGAAGGCGACGCGUUAAGCUUAAAAAGCUCACUCGAGCGCCUUUAUGUUUCUUUCUUACCAAUUUUAAGCAAACCGAGGAACACCCUUAUCCCAAGUAAUGGUUCGACUACGAUGUUCCGGUAACUUUAAACCACGCCGGCUGUUGAAAAGGUGGCCAGUUUCAGAUGCAUUGAUGUGUAGUGAUGCAGUGGACAACUGUGAGGAUGAUACAAUCAACAACAUGUUCCUAAACUGUGAUGCAGAAACACAUCCUUCUCUGACCACAACUACACUUUAAAAUCACAACUCAACCUGAAGCAACCUACAUCUGAUAUGGGAAAACAAUGGUGCAGUUUUCCUGACAGGGCUUAUGCUGGUCCCAGGCUAAAAUGCAUAUUUGAGCUACAAUAAUUUAAAAACACCUUUUACUGACAUACCUCAACAUAUAAGAGUGCCAUUGUUUUGUCACAAGAUGCGCACCAGUCUUGUUUUUUUGUAGGGUUUGUUUGUAAAAACUAAAAUGUCCUAAUAUAAUUAAAUCCUAGUCCUGUAAACCCUGUCCGAGAAACUGCUUCAAUGUGUUGAGAUGGCACAAAUGUACAUAUCUCUGCUGAGAAACAACCAUCUUUGUGUCAGCUUUACAGAGGGUUGAUAUUGCAUCCAUUACACAGUCGCCAAGCACUUUACCAGUACAUACACCAACAGCUUCCAGAUAAACACUUGGGAUCAGCUCCUGAUGACUCCGAUAAAGCUGUGUCUUAAUUUAUUGCAGGGUGGUCUUGCUUUACCUGUUGUAAAGUUACAUUAAACCUUCAUAUGUGAUCAGAUGUCAUGCAGUGAUAUUAAACAUUUACAGUGUGAUCAGAUGUUGUAUUAAACCUUUACAAUGUGAUCAGAUGUUGUGUAUUUAUAUUAAACCUUUACAAUGUGA
This is a non-coding RNA of Misgurnus anguillicaudatus (oriental weatherfish), 1336 nucleotides long. The record is from RefSeq and is a predicted model, not a curated record. NCBI's taxonomy places the organism in Eukaryota, Metazoa, Chordata, Actinopteri, Cypriniformes, Cobitidae.